GGGCGGCUAGCUCAGUGGGAGAGCGCUUGCUUCACACGCAAGAGGUCAUUGGUUCAAACCCAAUGCCGCCCACCA
RNAcentral lists this transfer RNA (75 nucleotides) under Chloroflexota bacterium. Its description in RNAcentral is "Chloroflexi bacterium tRNA-Val". It matches the Rfam family "tRNA". Rfam says of the family: Transfer RNA (tRNA) molecules are approximately 80 nucleotides in length. Their secondary structure includes four short double-helical elements and three loops (D, anti-codon, and T loops). The record is from RNAcentral. Lineage: Bacteria; Bacillati; Chloroflexota. RNAcentral also lists the same sequence under 5 other names.